RNAcentral lists this transfer RNA (75 nucleotides) under Candidatus Vogelbacteria bacterium CG10_big_fil_rev_8_21_14_0_10_50_13. RNAcentral describes it as "tRNA-Glu". It matches the Rfam family "tRNA". From Rfam's summary of the family: Transfer RNA (tRNA) molecules are approximately 80 nucleotides in length. The record is from RNAcentral. Lineage: Bacteria; Candidatus Vogeliibacteriota.
GGCCCUAUCGUCUAUCGGUUAGGACGUCGCCUUCUCAAGGCGAAAAGCGCGGUUCGAUUCCGCGUAGGGUCACCA